GCAGCUGUAGCUCAGUCGGUUAGAGCGCUUGAUUGUGGAUCAAGAGGUCGGAGGUUCAAUUCCCCCCAGCUGUACCA
Molecule: transfer RNA, 77 nt
Filed under: Rhodobiaceae bacterium
Lineage: Bacteria; Pseudomonadati; Pseudomonadota; Alphaproteobacteria; Hyphomicrobiales; Rhodobiaceae
Description: tRNA-His
Rfam family: tRNA
About the family: Transfer RNA (tRNA) molecules are approximately 80 nucleotides in length. Their secondary structure includes four short double-helical elements and three loops (D, anti-codon, and T loops).
Source: RNAcentral